GCAAGUGACAACAAAUUAUUUUUUUAAAAAAAUCUAAAAUAUUGAUUAGAACAAAAAUUAUUCCAAAAGUCAGUUCCAGCUGUUACACCCUGUAUAAUAUACCAGACUUUAUUCCGAUAACCAUAUACUCGUAGUUAUCAAUAUUACCAUAAAUAGAAGUAAAAUAUUGUCGUACUUUAUUGUCACAUAUGGAUACGUUUUGUGUAUUUUAUUCUAAAAUAUAAUAAACAAAAUAUUAAGCGUAAUAUUUAUAGUAAUAUGCUCUUAAUAUAAUAACUAAUAAAUUAAUUCAAAACUCAAAGGCAGCCAAAUGCAUUUGGCAUGUAGAACAAUGACUGUUCAUCGACAUAAUUGUUAUAUGAUUAAUGUUUGGCAUUCAAAUUAUUAUUAUUAUUAUAGAUUUUUUCUGUUUUGUUUCUUCUUGGUAGGAGUUCAAAUCCAACGGCGGCAUGUUGAAGGUUUCAUAGAUGUAACGUGCAUGUAUGUAGUGGCCCCCCAAGUGUGAUGAAAGAGUUAUUAUUGCUAACCGAGAAGGGGAGAUGCUAUAGAUGCCAACGUGCUACUGUAGAACAGUAGGGUCUGAGGCUUCUAUCAAAAACGUUCAUACAAGUACGGCAAGAAAUCAGGAUUUCUAUAAUAUUACUUCUACCUACUACUAUUACUUCGACUAUUGCUACUACUACUACUACUACUACUGUCUCUACUACUGAAAACACUCGCAGAGGAUCCGCUGUGUUCGACCAGUUCGCGGACGACUACAUCAUCGUCGGUUGGCAGCCGAGAACGUUUCGGCGAUUUACUAUUAUAUCAUCAUAAUACAAUAUUGUAUUCUAUAUUUAUACGAAUCAUAUAUUUGUGUACACAUAAAAUAACUAUAUAAUUGUGCUUUUUUUUUAUAAUUAAUCUUUUAUUCUUUUUUUCCGAAAAUAAAGCCACGCACAUUUCGUUUGUA
This is a long non-coding RNA of Acyrthosiphon pisum (pea aphid), 952 nucleotides long. RefSeq lists it as uncharacterized. The transcript has 2 exons. The record is from RefSeq and is a predicted model, not a curated record. Lineage: Eukaryota; Metazoa; Arthropoda; Insecta; Hemiptera; Aphididae.